UACAUGGGGUGCAAACGUUGCUCGGAAUUAUUGGGCGUAAAGCGCGCGUAGGCGGUUACUUAAGUCGGAUGUGAAAGCCCUCGGCUUAACUGAGGAAGUGCACCCGAAACUGAGUAGCUAGAGUACGAAAGAGGGUCGCGGAAUUCCCGGUGUAGAGGUGAAAUUCGUAGAUAUCGGGAGGAACACCGGUGGCGAAAGCGCUCUGCUGGACUGCAACUGACACUCAGGGACGAAAGCUAGGGGAGCGAAUGGG
Molecule: ribosomal RNA, 253 nt
Filed under: uncultured bacterium
Lineage: Bacteria
Description: partial 16S ribosomal RNA
Rfam family: Bacterial small subunit ribosomal RNA
Source: RNAcentral